GAUGAAGAACGCAGCGAAAUGCGAUACUUGGUGUGAAUUGCAGAAUCCCGUGAACCAUCGAGUCUUUGAACGCAAGUUGCGCCCGAAGCCAUUAGGCCGAGGGCACGCCUGCCUGGGCGUCACACGUCGUUGCCCCCCCAUCUACUCCUUCGGGAUUGCGGGGGGCGGAUGAUGGCCUCCCGUGCGCCUCGCCGCGCGGUUGGCAUAAAUGCCAAGUCCUCGGCGACGCACGCCACGACAAUCGGUGGUUGCGAAACCUCGGUUGCCCGUCGUGUGCGGUCGUCGCGCAUCGAGGCUCGAAAAAAUUGCCGGGUUCCGGCUCGGCUUUCAACGCGACCCCAGGUCAGGCGGGGUUACCCGCUGAAUUUAAGCAUAUCAAUAAGCGGAGGA
Molecule: unclassified non-coding RNA, 390 nt
Filed under: soil metagenome
Description: partial contains 5.8S ribosomal RNA, internal transcribed spacer 2, and large subunit ribosomal RNA
Rfam family: 5.8S ribosomal RNA (bases 1-122)
Source: RNAcentral